Molecule: ribosomal RNA, 453 nt
Filed under: uncultured Porphyromonadaceae bacterium
Lineage: Bacteria; Pseudomonadati; Bacteroidota; Bacteroidia; Bacteroidales; Porphyromonadaceae
Description: partial 16S ribosomal RNA
Rfam family: Bacterial small subunit ribosomal RNA
Source: RNAcentral
ACGGGAGGCAGCAGUGAGGAAUAUUGGUCAAUGGGCGGAAGCCUGAACCAGCCACGUCGCGUGAAGGAUGAAGGUAUUAUGUAUUGUAAACUUCUUUAGACGCAGAGAAAUAAGGAGGUCGUGACCUCUGAUGCUAGUAUGCGUAGAAUAAGGAUCGGCUAACUCCGUGCCAGCAGCCGCGGUAAUACGGAGGAUCCGAGCGUUAUCCGGAUUUAUUGGGUUUAAAGGGUGCGCAGGCGGCCCUGUAAGUCAGCGGUGAAAGCGUGGAGCUCAACUCCAUCCCGCCGUUGAUACUACAGGGCUUGAUUGCGGUAGAGGUUGGCGGAAUUCGUCGUGUAGCGGUGAAAUGCAUAGAUAUGGCGAAGAACACCGAUGGCGUAGGCAGCUGACCAGGCCGUAAAUGACGCUCAUGCACGAAAGUGCGGGGAGCGAACAGGAUUAGAUACCCUGGUA